This 506-nucleotide ribosomal RNA is filed under the name uncultured bacterium. RNAcentral describes it as "partial 16S ribosomal RNA". It matches the Rfam family "Bacterial small subunit ribosomal RNA", at positions 29 to 523 of the family's 1533-position model. The record is from RNAcentral.
AGUGAACGCUGGCGGUAGGCCUAACACAUGCAAGUCGAACGGCAGCACAGGAGAGCUUGCUCUCUGGGUGGCGAGUGGCGGACGGGUGAGGAAUACAUCGGAAUCUACUCUGUCGUGGGGGAUAACGUAGGGAAACUUACGCUAAUACCGCAUACGACCUAAGGGUGAAAGCAGGGGACCUUCGGGCCUUGCGCGAUGGAAUGAGCCGAUGUCGGAUUAGCUAGUUGGCGGGGUAAAGGCCGACCAAGGCGACGAUACGUAGCUGGUCUGAGAGGAUGAUCAGCCACACUGGAACUGAGACACGGUCCAGACUCCUACGGGAGGCAGCAGUGGGGAAUAUUGGACAAUGGGCGCAAGCCUGAUCCAGCCAUACCGCGUGGGUGAAGAAGGCCUUCGGGUUGUAAAGCCCUUUUGUUGGGAAAGAAAUCCAGCUGGCUAAUACCCGGUUGGGAUGACGGUACCCAAAGAAUAAGCACCGGCUAACUUCGUGCCAGCAGCCGCCGUAA